GCAGGCAGAACGUGGCUGCCCGUCAUUAAUUCAAUGGCGGGAGGAAAGUCCGAGCUCCACAGGGUAACGUAAUGGGUAACGCCCAUCUGCCGGCGAUAAGCCGGUAAGGAUUAGAGCUACAGAGACGAGUAAUCCCGCACCUUAAAAGGUGCGGGAUGAGAUGAAACGGGCAAUCUCUACGUGGAGUAAGGCCAAAUAAGAGACUAGGGGUAACCCUCCCCGUUGGAAGUCUCGGGUAGGCUGCUUGACUCUGGCAGUAAUGCCGGGGCUUAGAGGAAUGGCCACUUAAGAGGCGGAUAAUCGCCUCGACACAGAACUCGGCUUAUUCUGCCUGCUUAA
This 339-nucleotide RNase P RNA is filed under the name Candidatus Omnitrophota bacterium. Its description in RNAcentral is "RNase P RNA component class A". It matches the Rfam family "Bacterial RNase P class A". Rfam says of the family: Ribonuclease P (RNase P) is a ubiquitous endoribonuclease, found in archaea, bacteria and eukarya as well as chloroplasts and mitochondria. Its best characterised activity is the generation of mature 5'-ends of tRNAs by cleaving the 5'-leader elements of precursor-tRNAs. Lineage: Bacteria; Pseudomonadati; Candidatus Omnitrophota. The record is from RNAcentral.